CCUACGGGGGGCUGCAGUAAGGAAUAUUCCGCAAUGGACGAAAGUCUGACGGAGCGACGCCGCGUGUAGGAAGAAGCCCCUCGGGGUGUAAACUACUGUCAGGGAUUACCAAGCAAAGGGACCUAACACGUCUCUGCGUUGAGGAGUCCCAGAGGAAGCCACGGCUAACUUCGUGCCAGCAGCCGCGGUAAUACGAAGGUGGCAAGCGUUGUUCGGAAUCACUGGGCUUAAAGCGCACGUAGGCGGUCCUUCAAGCGUCUUGUGAAAUCCCUCGGCUCAACCGGGGAAUGGCUGGACGAACUGUAGGACUUGAGGCAGGUAGGGGUGCAUGGAACUCUUGGUGGAGCGGUGAAAUGCGUAGAUAUCAAGAGGAACGCCGGUGGCGAAAGCGAUGCACUGGGCCUGCCCUGACGCUGAGGUGCGAAAGCUAGGGGAGCGAACGGGCUUAGAUACCCGAGUAGUC
RNAcentral lists this ribosomal RNA (463 nucleotides) under uncultured bacterium. Its description in RNAcentral is "bacterial SSU rRNA". It matches the Rfam family "Bacterial small subunit ribosomal RNA", at positions 338 to 795 of the family's 1533-position model. The record is from RNAcentral.